Cygnus olor (mute swan) is the source of this 244-nucleotide long non-coding RNA. RefSeq lists it as uncharacterized. NCBI's taxonomy places the organism in Eukaryota, Metazoa, Chordata, Aves, Anseriformes, Anatidae. The transcript has 3 exons. The record is from RefSeq and is a predicted model, not a curated record.
UCCCUCACAGAGCCUCACGGUGAGGUGCCGGUGUCGGCGGCGCUGCCGGGCGGCUCCCCCGGGGCGCUUCUGAGGCGGCGGGGGCUGAGGGCAACUGUAUAUGACUCAUAGAAAAGUCUACAGCAACUCCUGCCUGUGCUUAUUGAUGGACAGACCAACCAAUUAACAUCUGGUAAGUAGGAGAAGGGAAAAAGGGGAAUGCUUUGGUUGGCUUACUUGCUUUCUGUCAGAGCUGUCUUUUAAC